UACAGGGGGUGCAAACGUUGCUCGGAAUCAUUGGGCGUAAAGCGCACGUAGGCGGUCUGUUAUGUCGGAUGUGAAAGCCCUUGGCUUAACUGAGGAAGUGCAUCCGAAACUGGCAGGCUAGAGUACUAAAGAGGGUCGCGGAAUUCCCGGUGUUGAGGUGAAAUUCGUAGAUAUCGGGAGGAACACCGGUGGCGAAGGCGGCGACCUGGGUAGAUACUGACGCUGAGGUGCGAAAGCGUGGGGAGCAAACAGG
Molecule: ribosomal RNA, 253 nt
Filed under: uncultured bacterium
Lineage: Bacteria
Description: partial 16S ribosomal RNA
Rfam family: Bacterial small subunit ribosomal RNA
Source: RNAcentral